Molecule: ribosomal RNA, 373 nt
Filed under: uncultured organism
Description: partial 16S ribosomal RNA
Rfam family: Bacterial small subunit ribosomal RNA
Source: RNAcentral
GUAGGUGGCAAGCGUUGUCCGGAAUUAGUGGGCGUAAAGCGCGCGCAGGCGGUUCUUUAAGUCUGAUGUGAAAGCCCACGGCUCAACCGUGGAGGGUCAUUGGAAACUGGAGAACUUGAGUACAGAAGAGGAAAGCGGAAUUCCACGUGUAGCGGUGAAAUGCGUAGAGAUGUGGAGGAACACCAGUGGCGAAGGCGGCUUUCUGGUCUGUAACUGACGCUGAGGCGCGAAAGCGUGGGGAGCAAACAGGGAUUAGAUACCCUGGUAGUCCACGCCGUAAACGAUGAGUGCUAAGUGUUAGGGGGUUUCCCGCCCCUUAGUGCUGCAGCUAACGCAUUAAGCACUCCGCCUGGGGAGUACGGCCGCAAGGCUG